Molecule: ribosomal RNA, 442 nt
Filed under: uncultured bacterium
Lineage: Bacteria
Description: partial 16S ribosomal RNA
Rfam family: Bacterial small subunit ribosomal RNA
Source: RNAcentral
CCUACGGGUGGCAGCAGUGGGGAAUAUUGGGCAAUGGGCGCAAGCCUGACCCAGCAACGCCGCGUGAAGGAAGAAGGCUUUCGGGUUGUAAACUACUUUCGUCAGGGAAGAGUAGAAGACGGUACCUGACGAAUAAGCCACGGCUAACUACGUGCCAGCAGCCGCGGUAAUACGUAGGUGGCAAGCGUUGUCCGGAUUUACUGGGGGUAAAGGGCGUGUAGUCGGGUUGACAAGUCAGAUGUGAAAUCCGGCGGCUUAACCGCAGAACUGCAUUUGAAACUGGUGAUCUUGAGUACUGGAGAGGCAGAUGGAAUUCCUGGUGUAGCGGUGAAAUGCGUAGAGAUUAGGAGGAACACCAGUGGCGAAGGCGGUCUGCUGGACAACGACUGACGGUGAGGCGCGAAAGCGUGGGGAGCAAACAGGAUUAGAUACCCGAGUAGUC